Molecule: ribosomal RNA, 497 nt
Filed under: uncultured bacterium
Lineage: Bacteria
Description: partial 16S ribosomal RNA
Rfam family: Bacterial small subunit ribosomal RNA
Source: RNAcentral
GAUGAACGCUGGCGGCGUGCCUAAUACAUGCAAGUCGAGCGAACGGACGAGAAGCUUGCUUCUCUGAUGUUAGCGGCGGACGGGUGAGUAACACGUGGAUAACCUACCUAUAAGACUGGGAUAACUUCGGGAAACCGGAGCUAAUACCGGAUAAUAUUUUGAACCGCAUGGUUCAAAAGUGAAAGACGGUCUUGCUGUCACUUAUAGAUGGAUCCGCGCUGCAUUAGCUAGUUGGUAAGGUAACGGCUUACCAAGGCAACGAUGCAUAGCCGACCUGAGAGGGUGAUCGGCCACACUGGAACUGAGCCACGGUCCAGACUCCUACGGGAGGCAGCAGUAGGGAAUCUUCCGCAAUGGGCGAAAGCCUGACGGAGCAACGCCGCGUGAGUGAUGAAGGUCUUCGGAUCGUAAAACUCUGAUAUUAGGGAAGAACAUAUGUGUAAGUAACUGUGCACAUCUUGACGGUACCUAAUCAGAAAGCCACGGCUAACUACGUG